GACGAACGCUGGCGGCGUGCUUAACACAUGCAAGUCGAACGGAAAGGCCCUGCUUUUGUGGGGUGCUCGAGUGGCGAACGGGUGAGUAACACGUGAGUAACCUGCCCUUUACUUUGGGAUAACUUCAGGAAACUGGGGCUAAUACCGGAUAGGAGCUCCUGCUGCAUGGGGGGGGUUGGAAAGUUUCGGCGGUUGGGGAUGGACUCGCGGCUUAUCAGCUUGUUGGUUGGGGAGUGGCUUACCAAGGCUUUGACGGGUAGCCGGCAUGAGAGGGUGACCGGCCACAUUGGGACUGCGGUACGGCCCAGACUCCUACGGGAGGCAGCAGUCGGGAAUAUUGCACAAUGGGCGGAAGCCUGAUGCAGCAACGCCGCGUGCGGGAUGACGGCCUUCGGGUUGUAAACCGCUUUAGCCUGUGACGAAGCGUGAGUGACGGUAAUGGGUAAAGAAGCACCGGCUAACUACGUG
Molecule: ribosomal RNA, 468 nt
Filed under: uncultured bacterium
Lineage: Bacteria
Description: partial 16S ribosomal RNA
Rfam family: Bacterial small subunit ribosomal RNA
Source: RNAcentral